AAUUUGCACCACCUGCAUUUCAGCUCUUGAACUUUUACAUCUCGUUCAGGUGAGUAGAAGUCAAGAAUUCUGACAGACAAAAUCCAGGUAGUCUCGGAAAAUUCUUGCUACACUAGUGCUGCAAUAGGCCCUCAUCAACAGAAGCGGCAAAUUAAUAUUGAGAAGAAUCAUCGACACAAUGGUGAUGGCUCAUUCGCAGCACAUUUGCAGCUUGGGACGCUUAGGCAGGCGAUCCACUAGCUUGGAGCAGACGACAAUCAGCAGCAGGAAGCAGUUUGCAGCCCCAAAGUACGCUUUAAGACCAACUUUUCAUCGAGAUGGUCUUCCUUAAGGCUUCAAAUGAUAUUGCAGCGUGGGCCAAUCUGGAUUUGGACUAUAAAGCUGAAAUGUUCCAUUCCAAGUCUAAGGCAGUGUGUGUUGGGCAGAUUCUCCACAAGGAGGACUGGAAGAUCGCAUAAAAGCAGGACAGUUGCAGCCAGCACACCCUCGGAGAUCAUCUCGCAGGCGCGCGCAUGCCUGGAACUCUUCACCAGCUUUGUCUGUCAAACAGCCCUCAGAGCUGGGAUGUC
This 569-nucleotide long non-coding RNA is filed under the name Coccomyxa subellipsoidea. Its description in RNAcentral is "long non-coding RNA (CSUB_LNC000043)". Lineage: Eukaryota; Viridiplantae; Chlorophyta; Trebouxiophyceae; Coccomyxaceae. The record is from RNAcentral.